Molecule: long non-coding RNA, 988 nt
Filed under: Rhinopithecus roxellana (golden snub-nosed monkey)
Lineage: Eukaryota; Metazoa; Chordata; Mammalia; Primates; Cercopithecidae
Description: lncRNA (ENSRROG00000045832.1)
Source: RNAcentral
AGUUUGAGGAAUGAGUUAGACUAGAAGAAAGGGACUUCAUAUAUUGAGUUCCUUUUUUUGCUCCAUGCAGUGUACCAAGCACUUUUAUGUGGUCUUUCCUUUAAUCCUCACUAACUACAGAUGUAAGAAGUGAAUAUUUCUUUUGCAAAAUGAGAAACUGAAGUUAGGAGGUAUUAAAUAGUCUGCCCAAAGUCACAGAGCUAAUAACUAUAAUUACAAUAGAGCUAAACCAAGCAGAAAUGUAAAACCAGUACUGUUUCAUCCAAAAACUGAUGUAUUAGGACUGCCUUCUGAAGAUAAAGUUGGAGAGACAGGGGUUAGAUUGUGAAAGUUCUUAAAGUCCAGGCUAAGGAGUUUGGACUCUGUCACAUGGAGAAUGAAGAGCCACUGAAAGAUGUUGGUGUUUUUGUUGUCGCUGUUUCUUUUUUCUUUCUCUCUGCCUUCUUUUUUUUUUUUUGAGUUGGAAAUGGAGGAAGCAUAGACAAAAGAGAGUAUUAACAAUAUAAGAUAACUGUUUAAUACAAACCAAUAUUCAUUUCUGCCUUUAGGUGUGAAAAUCCUUGAACCCACCGAAAUACCAGCUCCAGGUCCAGUUCCUGUUCCAGGUCCCAAAAGCCAUCCUUCUGCAUCCUUGGGCAAAAUGCUGCUUCCACAGUUUGGGAUGGUCAUUUUAAUCAGUGUUUCUGCUAUAAAUCUCUUUGUUGCUCUGUAGUUCCCUGCAUUGUUUAUCUUUCUUGUUCUUUACUUGAAAUAACUAUAGGGAUCCCACAGGAGAUCAGAAGGAAUGACGUAUUUUUCACUUGUUGGCCAAAGUCACUGAUAAAAUGAGAAUUGUAUAUUUGUUAUUCAUUUUGCAAAUUCAGAAAGUUGGUCCAGAUAUAUGUUACAGAACUUUUCACUUCUAUACUAACUGAAAAAAAUCCCGAAAACUGUAUACUUCCGAUUGAAUUCAAUAAAAGAUUUUUAGAUAUUUCAGAAUUGCCAGUAU